Molecule: ribosomal RNA, 465 nt
Filed under: uncultured bacterium
Lineage: Bacteria
Description: partial 16S ribosomal RNA
Rfam family: Bacterial small subunit ribosomal RNA
Source: RNAcentral
GACGAACGCUGGCGGCGUGCUUAACACAUGCAAGUCGUACGGUAAGGCCCUUUCGGGGGUACACGAGUGGCGAACGGGUGAGUAAAACGUGAGUAACCUGCCCACAACUUUGGGAUAACGCUAGGAAACUGGUGCUAAUACUGGAUAUGUGCUCCUGCUGCAUGGUGGGGGUUGGAAAGCUCCGGCGGUUGUGGAUGGACUCGCGGCCUAUCAGCUUGUUGGUGGGGUAGUGGCCUACCAAGGCGGCGACGGGUAGCCGGCCUGAGAGGGUGACCGGCCACAUUGGGACUGAGAUACGGCCCAGACUCCUACGGGAGGCAGCAGUGGGGAAUAUUGCACAAUGGGCGCAAGCCUGAUGCAGCAACGCCGCGUGCGGGAUGACGGCCUUCGGGUUGUAAACCGCUUUCAGCAGGGACGAAGCUUUUUGUGACGGUACCUGCAGAAGAAGCACCGGCUAACUACGUG